Long non-coding RNA from Peromyscus leucopus (white-footed mouse), 391 nucleotides. RefSeq lists it as uncharacterized. The transcript has 3 exons. Lineage: Eukaryota; Metazoa; Chordata; Mammalia; Rodentia; Cricetidae. The record is from RefSeq and is a predicted model, not a curated record.
GCUGGCUUCAAGAGGCCUUGCACUCAAUCUCUUUGAACAUGUUCAACUAUCCAGGUAAAACAGAACAAGCUGCUGCCUUUGAGGGGCCUGAGGCACGGGUGAGCAUGUGAAAUUAGGCCUCGUUAUUAUAGUCAGCAAUGGUGAUGGAAACAGAGUCCACAGGAAACUCGGAACAGAAUGAGCUGCUGUCAAUGGAAAUGCUUUCCAAGAUACGUCUCUCUGAUCCUCAUGGUGACCACUGUCAUGGCGACUGUAGACACACAGCAUUCAGUACCUCCUAUGCUCCUGUAUCCAGGGCUUUGCCAUUGCUGUACAGGCCAUCGACGGGACUCCAACCAUACAAACAGAUCAAAGUGCUGGGACAGUGACAGACCUGGAAAGACUUCUGUCA